Molecule: ribosomal RNA, 495 nt
Filed under: uncultured bacterium
Lineage: Bacteria
Description: partial 16S ribosomal RNA
Rfam family: Bacterial small subunit ribosomal RNA
Source: RNAcentral
AUGAACGCUGGCGGCGUGCCUCAUACAUGCACGUCGAGCGAACAGACGAGGAGCUUGCUCCUCUGACGUUAGCGGCGGACGGGUGAGUAACACGUGGAUAACCUACCUAUAAGACUGGGAUAACUUCGGGAAACCGGAGCUAAUACCGGAUAAUAUAUUGAACCGCAUGGUUCAAUAGUGAAAGACGGUUUUGCUGUCACUUAUAGAUGGAUCCGCGCCGCAUUAGCUAGUUGGUAAGGUAACGGCUUACCAAGGCAACGAUGCGUAGCCGACCUGAGAGGGGUACCGCCCAACAUGGAACGUGACACCGGCCCAGACCCCCAGGGGGGGCCGCAGUAGGGAAUUUUCCGAAAGGGGGGAAAGCCUGACGGAGCACCGCCGCGGGAGUGAUGAAGGUUUUGGGACUGAAAAACUCUUUUAUUGGGGAAAAAAAAAUUUGAAAGUAACUAUGCACGUCUUGACGGAACCUAAUCAGAAAGCCACGGCUAACUACGU